GAGGCAUUAUUUACUCCAUCAAACUGGUCAUGAUUUCGAAAACCUGUUGAACCUCUUGACCUCUGUUAAAAUGACAGCAACGGCACCUUCUCCAGUCUCGUCACACAACUGAAGCCAUCUCAUCUCUGGUACCCAGUAAAUCUCUUCUGAAACCUCGCUGAGGUCUUGGAGGCUGCUGAGGAAGGUGAGGGCCCACAAGGAGAAUUCCAAGUGUAGUGGAAUUGCCCAGUGAAAAUUCAGUCUCCCAGACAAUUCCUUCGGAGUGUGCUGCAAUGGGGAUUCCACAAGGUCUCCAACAACAAGUCCUAGCAGGCCAGAAUAAUGAUGAUCUGACCAUCAGAAAAGCCAGGCCAAUGUAUCCAGAAGAACACAGUAUUCCACCUGAGGUCUACUGUGGAUGCCUCUGAUUAAAAAAUGCCAAGGAUGCUUUUAAUAUGAUUCUCAGACUGAUCUGUCACUUUUGAAGAUUUAUCUUUACAAAGAAUAUAAGAAUUUAAAAUACUUUUACGGCAUUCAGCUGCAGGAAAUGUCCUUGUCUACCAGAAAGCAAGCAUCUAAAAUCUCAGCAGAUCUCAGCUCUUCCAAGUAGCCAGUACUUUCUCUGCUUCCAUUGACUAAUCCUCUUCUUGGAAUUGAACCCAUUGGAACUGGACUACACUCUCCUGACCGACUCGACACUGAUCCUUCUCUACUUCCAUACGAGUGCAGUGACAUCUUUGGUUUUAAUUUUACUGCAGAUGAGUUUCUCUAGCAAUUUGAUUUUAUGUUUAUUGGAGAUAAUAGGAACCAAGAAAAACAACCAAAUUUCUGUUGUCACCAAUGGAGUCGAAGACUGAGAGAAAAACAGUGCAUUACUCCUAGUUUAGUCAUAACAUUUUCAGUUGAAAUAGUUAACCUUGAUUUUUCUCACAAGUGCACAAAAAUCUUGA
This is a long non-coding RNA of Hemiscyllium ocellatum (epaulette shark), 929 nucleotides long. RefSeq lists it as uncharacterized. Lineage: Eukaryota; Metazoa; Chordata; Chondrichthyes; Orectolobiformes; Hemiscylliidae. The transcript has 5 exons. The record is from RefSeq and is a predicted model, not a curated record.